UUUAUCAGUUCAGACCAGGAAAUCCAUCUUAAGUUAAGUAGGUCUGGGCCUGGCCAGGACUUGGAUGGGAGACCAGCUAGGAAAGCUGGGUUGCUGCUGGAU
This 102-nucleotide ribosomal RNA is filed under the name Paramormyrops kingsleyae. Lineage: Eukaryota; Metazoa; Chordata; Actinopteri; Osteoglossiformes; Mormyridae. The record is from RNAcentral.